RNAcentral lists this ribosomal RNA (492 nucleotides) under uncultured Pseudomonas sp. RNAcentral describes it as "bacterial SSU rRNA". It matches the Rfam family "Bacterial small subunit ribosomal RNA", at positions 39 to 523 of the family's 1533-position model. Lineage: Bacteria; Pseudomonadati; Pseudomonadota; Gammaproteobacteria; Pseudomonadales; Pseudomonadaceae. The record is from RNAcentral.
GGGCAAUGCGGCAGCUACACAUGCAGUCGAGCGGAUGAGAAGAGCUUGCUCUUCGAUUCAGCGGCGGACGGGUGAGUAAUACCUAGGAAUCUGCCUGGUAGUGGGGGACAACGUUUCGAAAGGAACGCUAAUACCGCAUACGUCCUACGGGAGAAAGCAGGGGACCUUCGGGCCUUGCGCUAUCAGAUGAGCCUAGGUCGGAUUAGCUAGUUGGUGAGGUAAUGGCUCACCAAGGCUACGAUCCGUAACUGGUCUGAGAGGAUGAUCAGUCACACUGGAACUGAGACACGGUCCAGACUCCUACGGGAGGCAGCAGUGGGGAAUAUUGGACAAUGGGCGAAAGCCUGAUCCAGCCAUGCCGCGUGUGUGAAGAAGGUCUUCGGAUUGUAAAGCACUUUAAGUUGGGAGGAAGGGCAGUAAGCGAAUACCUUGCUGUUUUGACGUUACCGACAGAAUAAGCACCGGCUAACUCUGUGCCAGCAGCCGCGGUAA